CUGUCUUUUUGUUUUGUUUACGGUUUCCUUUGCUGUGCAAAAGCUUAUAGGUUUGAUGAGGUCCAUGUUUAUUUUUGCUUUCAUUUCUUUUGCCUUGGGAGACUGAUCUAAGAAAAUGCUGCUACGAUUUAUGUCCAAAGGAAAAGUUUUCCCUAGGUUCACAGAUC
Molecule: non-coding RNA, 167 nt
Organism: Vicugna pacos (alpaca)
Lineage: Eukaryota; Metazoa; Chordata; Mammalia; Artiodactyla; Camelidae
Source: RefSeq, a predicted model, not a curated record